This 433-nucleotide ribosomal RNA is filed under the name uncultured bacterium. RNAcentral describes it as "bacterial SSU rRNA". It matches the Rfam family "Bacterial small subunit ribosomal RNA", at positions 29 to 506 of the family's 1533-position model. The record is from RNAcentral.
GCGGACGCUGGCGGCAGGCUUAACACAUGCAAGUCGAACGGGCACUUUCGGGUGUCAGUGGCAGACGGGUGAGUAACACGUGGGAACGUACCCUUCGGUUCGGAAUAACUCAGGGAAACUUGAGCUAAUACCGGAUACGCCCUUUUGGGGAAAGGUUUACUGCCGAAGGAUCGGCCCGCGUCUGAUUAGCUUGUUGGUGGGGUAACGGCCUACCAAGGCGACGAUCAGUAGCUGGUCUGAGAGGAUGAUCAGCCACACUGGGACUGAGACACGGCCCAGACUCCUACGGGAGGCAGCAGUGGGGAAUAUUGGACAAUGGGCGCAAGCCUGAUCCAGCCAUGCCGCGUGAGUGAUGAAGGCCUUAGGGUUGUAAAGCUCUUUUGUCCGGGACGAUAAUGACGGUACCGGAAGAAUAAGCCCCGGCUAACUUCGU